UACGUAGGUGGCAAGCGUUAUCCGGAUUUAUUGGGCGUAAAGCGAGUGCAGGCGGUUCAAUAAGUCUGAUGUGAAAGCCUUCGGCUCAACCGGAGAAUUGCAUCAGAAACUGUUGAACUUGAGUGCAGAAGAGGAGAGUGGAACUCCAUGUGUAGCGGUGGAAUGCAUAGAUAUAACUUAGAACACCGAUAGCGAAGGCAGCUUACCAGACUGAGUCUGACGCUGAUGCACGAGAGCAUGGGUAGCGAACAGG
Molecule: ribosomal RNA, 253 nt
Filed under: uncultured Lactobacillus sp.
Lineage: Bacteria; Bacillati; Bacillota; Bacilli; Lactobacillales; Lactobacillaceae
Description: partial 16S ribosomal RNA
Rfam family: Bacterial small subunit ribosomal RNA
Source: RNAcentral